Molecule: long non-coding RNA, 682 nt
Organism: Monodelphis domestica (gray short-tailed opossum)
Lineage: Eukaryota; Metazoa; Chordata; Mammalia; Didelphimorphia; Didelphidae
Source: RefSeq, a predicted model, not a curated record
CGGUUACCCAGGCCCUUAGGCCGUUGGCCCCGGGGCUCCGGGGCGGUCAAGUAGGUUUUCCAGCCCCGAACCCAGACGCCUCUCCCUCUCCGGCUGGCCCUCCACGUCUCUGCGGGCUUCUCUCAGGGUUCCUGUGAGAGCUGCUCUGGGCUCGCUGGGCUGUGCGGCCGGCCGGCCAGCCAGCCUCACCGUGGACUGCCUGCUGGUCCCCAAUCGGAUCCCAGGCAAGGGUGGACUCUGGAAGGAGGCCAGAUCGAUGCCCAGGACCCUUGCUGUGGAGCACACCUUCGUACCUGGAUGCUUUGGCCCAGGGAUGGAAAAGGUCUCCUUCCUAUCAGUUUCCUCCGUGCCAGGACUUGGCUGGCCAAGUAAAUCCCCCUGGCCUUUUAUGCCCAGGGGCUUUGGGGGACCUCCCUUAGGCUGCCUGGGCCUCCCUCCCCCCCCCUUGUGAAAGGAGGGACUUAGACUAGCUGGCCUCUAAGGUCCCAUAGCUCUCAACCUGACCCCUGUGGUCCCCCUUCCUCCUACCUUCGUGGGGAGCCUAGACAUCUCCAAGGACUUCACAAACUUGCCUUAGAACCUUCCAUGCCCCCUCAUUUCCUGUUGUCCAGCUAUUUCUUUAGGAGCCCAUUUGGGGUUUCCUUGGCACAGACACUGGGGGGGGGGGUUGCCAUUUCCUUCU